Long non-coding RNA from Maniola jurtina (meadow brown), 120 nucleotides. RefSeq lists it as uncharacterized. The record is from RefSeq and is a predicted model, not a curated record. The transcript is spliced from 3 exons. Lineage: Eukaryota; Metazoa; Arthropoda; Insecta; Lepidoptera; Nymphalidae.
GGUCGAUUUCUGGCCGAAACCGAAAGCGAAGGUUUGAUAACCCUAAGAAAUUCAGUUCAAGAUUGGCUAAAAGUAAAUAAAAUAAUGUUUUUUUUUUUAAUUUAUUGUUGAUUGUUUUAA